RNAcentral lists this unclassified non-coding RNA (218 nucleotides) under Ramularia sp. RNAcentral's name for it is "partial contains small subunit ribosomal RNA, internal transcribed spacer 1, and 5.8S ribosomal RNA". The stretch from base 1 to 46 matches the Rfam family "Eukaryotic small subunit ribosomal RNA", at positions 1786 to 1831 of the family's 1831-position model. The record is from RNAcentral. Lineage: Eukaryota; Fungi; Ascomycota; Dothideomycetes; Mycosphaerellales; Mycosphaerellaceae.
AAGUCGUAACAAGGUCUCCGUAGGUGAACCUGCGGAGGGAUCAUUACUGAGUGAGGAUUCACAUCCGACCUCCAACCCUUUGUGAACACAUCUUGUUGCUUCGGGGGCGACCCUGCCGUCCGCGGCAUUCCCCCCGGAGGUCAUCAAAACACUGCAUUCUUACGUCGGAGUAAAAAGUUAAUUUAAUAAAACUUUCAACAACGGAUCUCUUGGUUCUG